This 140-nucleotide ribosomal RNA is filed under the name uncultured Desulfovibrio sp. RNAcentral describes it as "partial 16S ribosomal RNA". It matches the Rfam family "Bacterial small subunit ribosomal RNA", at positions 355 to 486 of the family's 1533-position model. Lineage: Bacteria; Pseudomonadati; Thermodesulfobacteriota; Desulfovibrionia; Desulfovibrionales; Desulfovibrionaceae. The record is from RNAcentral.
UGGGGAAUAUUGCGCAAUGGGGGAAACCCUGACGCAGCGACGCCGCGUGCGCGAAGAAGGCCUUCGGGUUGUAAAGCGCUGUCAGGAGGGAAGAAAAUGUCGGGGUAUAAUACGCCCUGUCUCUGACGGUACCCCCGAAG